RNAcentral lists this long non-coding RNA (1616 nucleotides) under Gallus gallus (chicken). RNAcentral describes it as "lncRNA (ENSGALG00010016248.1)". The record is from RNAcentral. Lineage: Eukaryota; Metazoa; Chordata; Aves; Galliformes; Phasianidae.
AGUAUUGUGGUGACAAUAUCUGUAUGCCUGAAGUCUUCUGAAGUGGAAAGUGACCUGUUUUGUUUGUGGAAGCUCUGGAAUCCCACAGGAGAAGGAUCGCUCAGCACCAUGGCCAUUUGCCAAGUACAACUUGUUCUGAAACACAGUGGUUCUGAGAAGUUGCAUUAUCAACUGAAGCACAAUGUCAGCGUAGCAGGAGACUCCGGAGAUCUAGAGAGGCAUCCACACUUGUGUGUUUUUGGAGGAACUAAACCAUUUGAUUUCUUAAGGACCCAGACUAGAAGAACAGGUUACUUCUGAGUUAUGGGAAGCUUUGAUUUAGAUUCCAAUGCCUAUAUGGCACUGAGGAUUCAUUUAUGCUUCACUUAUGUGGAAAAAAUGCCUGUGAUAGUGUCUGUAAAGCCAUGUUCCCUGAUAAUCUUCAUUUUAAAUCUGGAUUGCCCUUGGGGAAUCAUAAAGACAGACUAUUGGUAAACUGAGGGGAGCCUCUGGAAACAUCCAGAUUUGCAGAAUCUUCCAGCAUCUCCUUGAAAGCUUUAAUUAUCAGUGGUGUCUCUGCUACUUGCAUCACAUACUCCACAGAGCAGCCUGCAUUAUCACACCAUCUCACCAAAUCCCCUUGCACAGUUCUGUGUACAGUCUGGUAGUCACUGGGGUGACAUUUAGAAGCAGCGUUGGCAUGAUCCAAGAGCCUAGACAAAGCCUGUAGAAAUCAUUAUGUUUUGGGCUAAGCUUGAAGUCACUCCAAAUUUUAAUCUCCAAUAUGUACAAUGGAAAAAAAAAUUCACCUUCCAUUCAUAUUUCAUUGUAUUUUUUUUUGAUUGUAUGUUUUGUCAAGCACUUUUUUUUCCCAAAUACCUCGUAUAUCUGCUGCAUUGCAUCUGUGAAGAUAUGGUUUUUUCACUAGACUGUGAUAAUUAAGAAAGAGUUCUACUAAAAUUAAGCUGUAACCUAUUUGCAAGCUCCGUGUCUCUGAUCUAUUCAGUCAAAUACCAAGUUUCAACUCAAACUUAGGGAGAGUGGUGAUAGCUGUGUGAUUGCGACCUCUGUGCCGUGCUUAUCAACCAUCUUCACUGCAGUUAUCAGUACUUUGUUUUUAACUGUCUCUUCGUUCUUUCUCCGUGGUUGCAGUUGUAUGACCAUUUCUGCUAUUAUACCCAAAAGCAAAAACUGAAACAGGAGGAAUAUGAUUAACGAUUUAACUUGAACCUGUCAAAUACUGUGUCAUUAAAAGCAAAAAGCACUUCCCAUGAAUCAGAACAUUUAAGCUAUUAGAAUGGAUAAAAAUACAACAGAAUUCACAGCUAUGCUUGUGAUUUUUUUUAUUUUUUUUUAUUUUAAGAAAGGAGAUCCAAUUCUCUGCAAGAAAAUGCCAUGGGAACUAGAAAGAGGCAUUUUAUCCUGUUAAUCAUAGUUGUUUCUAUACAAACUUUUGUAUCUAAUCUACUGUGUACAAAACUAUAUAAUAAUGAAUAAAUGCUAAAAGCUUUGGUUUAAAUGACAAGUUGAUACCCUCCCUUCUCACUGAUGAAAAAGGAUAGAGAUUGAAGUGUAGAGUAAUAGCUCUUAUUCACCAAAAUGUGAACUUUCAAAAUGGAUUAAAUGUAUGAGUCCCC